This 57-nucleotide ribosomal RNA is filed under the name uncultured Bacillus sp. Its description in RNAcentral is "partial 16S ribosomal RNA". The record is from RNAcentral. Lineage: Bacteria; Bacillati; Bacillota; Bacilli; Caryophanales; Bacillaceae.
AUGGUGCGAAAUUGACAGGCGGCUUCGGCUGUCACUUAUAGAUGGACCUGCGGCGCA